UUAGUGGCGGACGGGUGAGUAACGCGUGGGAAAAACCUUGCCGUAUUACUGGGGGGAUAACACUUAGAAAUAGGUGCUAAUACCGCAUAAGCGCACAGCUUCGCAUGAAGCGGUGUGAAAAACUCUGGUGGUAUACGAUGGUUCCGCGUCUGAUUAGCUAGUUGGUGGGGUAAUGGCCUACCAAGGCAACGAUCAGUAGCCGGCCCGAGAGGGUGAACGGCCACAUUGGGACUGAGACACGGCCCAAACUCCUACGGAAGGCAGCAG
Molecule: ribosomal RNA, 267 nt
Filed under: uncultured bacterium
Lineage: Bacteria
Description: partial 16S ribosomal RNA
Rfam family: Bacterial small subunit ribosomal RNA
Source: RNAcentral